This 11961-nucleotide long non-coding RNA is filed under the name Gossypium barbadense (sea-island cotton). RNAcentral's name for it is "long non-coding RNA (GBAR_LNC003277)". Lineage: Eukaryota; Viridiplantae; Streptophyta; Magnoliopsida; Malvales; Malvaceae. The record is from RNAcentral.
UUUAUGCGAGAAUAUUAUCACUGAUUAAUGUCUGUAAGCUUCGUGCUCGUACUAUAUCCGAGCUCUAAAGACCCGAUGACUACGUAUGGGGAUUUUGUCCGGGUAAGACUUCGUAAUAAGAAUUGCUUAUAAAUAUAUUCAAUGCGAAAGGUUAAAUAGGUAUGUACUCCAAGUUUAUAUGUGAGCUUGAUUUGCACUAAAUCAAAUGGUAGUUAUGUGAUGUAUACGAGAGUAAUCUAUGAGACUAUUCCUAUGAUUAUGUGACAUCGGAUCAGUGUGAGAGGUUAUGUGAAAUCAUACGAUAUAUCUAUGUCACAUGAGCUCACUUUUAUGUGAAAGUUUAUCUGCCUAUUGUAUAUGAUGAGAUGUGCAUAUUCGGUAAAGGGAUGGUAUGCCCGAAGGAAGAGUGAAAUAAAAAUACGAACAACUAUGUUAUAAUUUGAUUGUUAUCUGUUCACACUGCUUAAAACUUACUAAGCAUUGUAAUGGUCACUCCGUUUACUCUGUUUCCUCUGUUUUAUAGAUCUCAUUGCGAAGCUACAGGCUCGGGGAUCGUCAGCAACUAGUCACACUAUCACUAUCCACUGUUUGGUACUGCUAUGUUUUGGAUUAUCUUAUGGCAUGUAUAAAAUAGACUAGUGGCGGAAGAAUAUUUUGGUUAAUGUAUAUAAGCCAUGCGAAAAUGGCAUCUUUUGAAUGUUUACUUAGAGAAGUUUAAAUUUUAUCCCUGGCCGUGCUUAGUACUUAUCUAAAUGAAUGACCUUUAUUUCAAGAAAAAGUUCAAAAUUUUACGGUUCUGACAUGAGUUACAAGCCCGGUAAUGCCCCUUACCUAUUCCGGCAACGGUCACGGGAUAGGGGUGUUACAUUUUAUUGGUAUCAGAGCUACGGUUUAGUCGAUUCUAGGACUGACGUAGCACGCGUGAGUCUAUUUAUACAUGCCAUAAAGUGAUAAAAUAUAGUGUGAUGAUUUUUGGCUAUUAAAAUGUGUUUGAUGUAUUGCAAUGAAUCUUGAUCCCGAUCGAGCUGUAGCAAGCUUCUGACUAUGAGAAUUUGCGAUAUAACUUCACUUAGAUAUGCCUAAAUUAUUAAGUUGAUCAGGUACGUAUCAUGCACUCGUAUUUGAAUUUCGAUUUGGAUUGAAUUAUAAGGGUAUAAGUGAUGCAAUUUUGAAAUAGUGUUAUGACUAUAAAUGUGAUUUUUGUAUGUGGCUAUGGAACUGGAAGUUGAAUGGUCGAUAAGCAUGUUGUGUUUGUAUUCAAGUAAUGUAAAUGAUAUACUAAUGUGUAUUGCUAUAUGUGUAUAUGUACAUGAGAAUUGAGAGUGAAAUGUCCGGGCUAAAUCUCGAAGAGCAUUCGUGCUAGUGAUGUAUCCGGACUAAGUUCCGAAGAGCAUUCAUGCUAGUGAUGUAUCCGGGCUAAGUCCCGAAGAGCAUUCGUGCUAGUGAUGUAUCCGGACUAAGUUCCGAAGAGCAUUCAUGCUAGUGAUGUAUCCGGGCUAAGUCCCGAAGAGCAUUCAUGCUAGUGAUGUAUCCGGGCUAAGUCCCGAAGAGCAUUCGUGCUAAUGAUGUAUCCGGGCUAAGUCUCGAAGAGCAUUCGUGCUAGUGAUGUAUUCGGACUAAGUUCCGAAGAGCAUUCGUGCUAGUGAUAUAUCUGUGCUAAACCCCGAAGAGCAUUUGUGCUGGUGUUAUAUCCGGGCUAGGUCCCGAAGAGCAAUCAUGCUGGUGACGUGUAUUCGGGCCUUCGUGCCUAGUAGGCUUCGUGCCGGUAAUUUGAGCAAAGUUUAAGUGUUCAUUACUAUACGAAUUCAAAUUUAAAUGAGAUGAUAUGUUUAAAAGUGUACAUACAUGAUGUUUAUAGACUUGGUUAAGUCAUUUCAAUGUGUAAUAACGAAUGAAUAAGAGCACUAUGUGUGUGAAUGAUUAGAGGCACUGUGUGUGUGCGAAUUCCUUUAACCGAGCACUAUGAGUGCGAGAUCGGUCAGUGGGCACUAAGUGUGUGAAGUGGAAUUCAUGUAAGACCUCGUCUGGGACGAAGGCAUUGAUUUGAGAUAGUGUGUAAGACCAUGUCUGGGACAUGGCAUCGGCUCGAUAUGUGAGAAUAUGUAAGACCAUAUCUAGGAUAUGGCAUUGUAAGAGCUAUAUGUGCUCAAUGAGUAUCCGUAAUGAUUUCGAAUGAUUCAACAGGUAUAUUUAAGAUGAUAAAUUAAGUAAGAUCAGAAUAAGUGAUACAGGUAUAUACGGAAGGUAUGAGAAAAUUAGAUGAAAGUAAAAAGAUGGUGGAUAUGUUGUUAAGAAAUGAAUUCAUGUUAUAAAUGUGUUACGAAUUUAGUCUAUGGAAUGCUUGGUAUAUGAAUUCAUAUGUGCUAUUGCUAAAUGACCCCUAUUUUUUUUUUGUUAAUCAUAUUCAAGAAAUUAUUUCGAUUAAGUUCGACAUUUGAAAGUCUGUAAGAAUUUGUGAUGAAUGCUGAUAAUUUUGGAUAUAUGGGUUAUGUGCUAAAAUAAAUCCCAUGCCGGUAUACAAUAUGAGGCUUGAUGCCAAAUCGAUUGUAUACGGGUAUCGUUAACGGUGAUUGAAUGUGCUAAAUGAACUCAAUGUUCAGGUAUGUGGAAGUUGAUUUUCUGUUGGAAAUAGGUUAAGUUGAAUAGUGAGAUAUGAUGGAGUGAUAAAGGAUAUUUAUUGGGAUGUUUGAGUAUAUGUGUACUUUCGGUCAGGUUACAGCUUAUACAUGAAUGAAAAUGUGGGUUACAAAUAUGUGGGUUGAUGAUGUGAAUUAUACAUAUUAAUAUGUGCUUAAUAUGUGUUUGAAAUGCAUUUGUGAAUUAAAUUAAGUGAUUAUUACUUAUGAAAUCAAGAAAAUGAGAUAUAUGUGCAUACUUGUAGAAAUGUUUAUGUAUUUGUUUUAAGAUAAGAAAAUGAUUUUAUAGAUCGAUGCGAAAUCAAUAAUGAAUUACAAUUGCUAUCAAUGAGCUAAUGUCUUUGUGGAUAUAAUUCAAUAAGAGGACGUUAUCCUAAACUAUGCAUCGGUAGAAAUUUUCGGGGACGAAAAUUUCUUAAGUGGGGAAGAGUUGUGACACCCCUAAAGUGACCCUAGUCGGAAAGUGGUUUUGGGACCACUAAACCGAGUCAUAAAGAUAAUUAACCGUCAUAGUUGAUGCUCAUUAUAUGUACAUAUGCAUGUGUGAAAAUUUCAUGUUUGAAUUUUGUUAAUAGUAAGUGAAUUUUAUCAAAUAAGACUUAUGUGAGAAAAUUUUGAACUGUGAUAGGUCAAAGCAUAAAGAUCUAUUAGUGCAUGAAAUAAAAAGGGGGGACUUGCAUGUCAAUUUCCCCCCUAAUUAGUAGUGGUCGGCCAUGACAAGUAUGGUAGACCAAGUGUGAUGGGCAAGAACAUGUCAUAAACAUGUUAAGUUAGUGUUUCAUGGGAAGUAUGAUAAAAUAAGGAGCAUGGGAUAUAAAAUAUAUGCCUUUUAUAUUAAUAAAUUAAAUGUUAAAUGAAUAAAUAAUAUGAAAUAUGAACUUAUAUUAAAAGAAAUGGGUGAUAAAAACAAAGUUGGUUCAUCUUUUUCUUCCUCCAUUGCCGUACCUAAAGAAAGAAAAGAAGAAAUUGAAGUUAAGGCAUUUGGUCACCUUUAAGUGGAUUAAGGUAUGUUAAUGCUCUAUCAUUGAAAAUCUUUGUAUAUUUGGAGUGGCCAUCAAGUAUAGAAGCUAGCUCAUGGCAAAUGUUUUUGUAAAGUUAUGAAGAUGACAUUCGGUCAUGGAUGUUUGUAUUUCUUUGAUGUCGUUUUUGAUGCUUUAGGGUAUUGAGGGUUGAUUAUAGAUGAGUUGAGCUUGGUAAAAUUAAAUGUUUGUGGCUAAAUUGCUUAAUGACAAUCGGCUAUGUUGAAAUGCUAAAUUAGUGCUAAAUUGUAAGUAUUUAAAUGAGUGUUAGCCGAAAUUGAGCCUAUGAUAUUAAUUAGAAUUUGUGAAAUUUAUGCAUUUUGUGGUCCAAGUGUGAUAAGAACCAUACGGUUAUGGCAUGUAAGCAUGAAGAUUUGUGGAUGAUUUAGAAUUGGCCUAAGUGUUUUAGUCAUUAAUAUAUAUGUAUAUUGCCGAAUGUAUGCUUAAGGAAUUGGUUAAGUACAUUGUUGUUAAAUGCUUGUUGUUUUUGUAUAAUUGUUGCCUAGCUACUAAAUGAACUUAGGGUAUUAUGGAUAAGUUUAAGAGUGGCAUAAUUGAAAUGAAGUUUGCUUGGGCCAAAUGUGAACCUAAGUUUUGAAUUACAAUUGAUGCUUGUUAGUUAGUUGAUGAUGUCCUUUGAUAGCCCUUUUGAUAUUCGGCCAUUGUUAAGGAAUUUUGAAUUGGUUAUAAAUUUCUAUAUUUUAAUUAGCAAAUUGAAUUAUUGAAGGUUGAGCUAAUUAUAUAUGUAUACGUUUUAUAUGUACAUUAAUUUCUUAGUCUAUGUUAUUCGGCUAUAAUCGUCAUGGUAGAAUUUUUUUAAUUUGUAAAUUUGUUAAUCAUUAGCUCAAGAGCAUCAAGGACAAAAGUCGGAAAAAGGGACGACAAAACUAAGCGAAUAGCCGUAGAAUUAUAGUCGUCGACAACUUUUAAGGUAAGUUUCUAGCAUAUAAGUUUAGUUAUAAUGAAGAAUGAUAUGGAAAACGGCAUAUAUGAUAUUAUGUUUUAAAUAUGUGAAUGAGAACUUUACAGAGUAAAUUGUAUAAAUCUGCAAGGGACAGCAGCAGUAGCGUUUUGGAAAAAUUACCAUAAAUUGUGGGAGUUGAGUUAAAGGCUGAAUAAAAUAUGUAAUUAAAGCUUAAUGAGUCUAGUUUCUUAUAAAAGAAACCGUGUAAGCAAAGGAAUUUCCGAUAAUGAGAUAUUUAAAGUUGUGUGAGACGGUGUCAGAAUGACUCCGAAAUCCCCUGUUCUGUAUUUAUAAAAUCAUUAUAAAUUCUACAAAAAUGGUUAUAAGAUAAAAUUUAUAUGCUUAGACUCCUUAAUGAGUCUAGUUUCAAAUGAAAUCAAAUACAACAUAUUUUGAAUUCUGUAAAAUGAGAAAUUUGAUUCGUAGUGAAGAGUGGUCAGAUUAGUCAAACAGUGAAACAGGGGAAAUUUUAAGAAAAAUAUGAUAUUGAUUGGCCAGACCUAAAAUUCUGGAAAUUUUAUGGAUGGAAGAUAUACGAGUCUAUAUUCAGGAAAAAUUAACGGAAAGUGAUUUGGAGUUUUGUAGCACUAGUUAUAAAUGAUUUAGUGACUAUUGCUCAGGAAAAACAGCUUGUGCCGAAUUUGAGAUUAUGUUGUGAACCUUGAUAAACUUGUUUUAGUUGCUCAUAAGCUAUUGAUUAAACCCAUACUUGAAUUCUAAAUCGUGAUAUUGUAAGUUUAUGAGUAUUCAAAUAUGAAAUGAUAGUAUGGCGUAAUGGCCGAUGUGAUGAAUGUGAAAGUGUAUAUAUAUGUGAUAAGGCCUAAUGGCCGAUGUGAUGAAUGUGAAAGUGUAUAUAUAUGUGAUAAGGCCUAAUGGCCGAUGUGAUGAAUGUGAAAGUGUAUAUAUGUGAUAAGGCCUAAUGGCCGAUGUGAUGAAUGUGAAAGUGUAUAUAUGUGACAGGGCCGAGUGGCCAACGUGAUGGAUGUGAAAGUGUAUAAAUGUGAUAAGUCCCGAAGGGCAUUUGUGUCAGUACUAUAUCCGGGUUAAAACCCCGCAGGCUUUAUGCGAGAAUAUUAUCACUGAUUAAUGUCUGUAAGCUUCGUGCUCGUACUAUAUCCGAGCUCUAAAGACCCGAUGACUACGUGUGGGGAUUUUGUCCGAGUAAGACUUCGUAAUAAGAAUUGCUUAUAAAUAUAUUCAAUGCGAAAGGUUAAAUAGGUAUGUACUCCAAGUUUAUAUGUGAGCUUGAUUUGCACUAAAUCAAAUGGUAGUUAUGUGAUGUAUACGAGAGCAAUCUAUGAGACUAUUCCUAUGAUUAUGUGACAUCGGAUCAGUGUGAGAGGUUAUGUGAAAUCAUACGAUAUAUCUAUGUCACAUGAGCUCACUUUUAUGUGAAAGUUUAUCUGCCUAUUGUAUAUGAUGAGAUGUGCAUAUUCGGUAAAGGGAUGGUAUGCCCGAAGGAAGAGUGAAAUAAAAAUACGAACAACUAUGUUAUAAUUUGAUUGUUAUCUGUUCACACUGCUUAAAACUUACUAAGCAUUGUAAUGCUCACUCCGUUUACUCUGUUUCCUCUGUUUUAUAGAUCUCAUUGCGAAGCUACAGGCUCGGGGAUCGUCAGCAACUAGUCACACUAUCACUAUCCACUGUUUGGUACUGCUAUGUUUUGGAUUAUCUUAUGGCAUGUAUAAAAUAGACUAGUGGCGGAAGAAUAUUUUGGUUAAUGUAUAUAAGCCAUGCGAAAAUGGCAUCUUUUGAAUGUUUACUUAGAGAAGUUUAAAUUUUAUCCCUGGCCGUGCUUAGUACUUAUCUAAAUGAAUGACCUUUAUUUCAAGAAAAAGUUCAAAAUUUUACGGUUCUGACAUGAGUUACAAGCCCGGUAAUGCCCCUUACCUAUUCCGGCGACGGUCACGGGAUAGGGGUGUUACAUUUUAUUGGUAUCAGAGCUACGGUUUAGUCGAUUCUAGGACUGACGUAGCACGCGUGAGUCUAUUUAUACAUGCCAUAAAGUGAUAAAAUGAUAGUGUGAUGAUUUUUGGCUAUUAAAAUGUGUUUGCUGUAUUGCAAUGAAUCUUGAUCCCGAUCGAGCUGUAGCAAGCUUCUGACUAUGAGAAUUUGCGAUAUAAGUUCACUUAGAUGUGCCUAAAUUAUUAAGUUGAUCAGGUACGUAUCAUGCACUCGUAUUUGAAUUUCGAUUUGGAUUGAAUUAUAAGGGUAUAAGUGAUGCAAUUUUGAAAUAGUGUUAUGACUAUAAAUGUGAUUUUUGUAUGUGGCUAUGGAACUGGAAGUUGAAUGGUCGAUAAGCAUGUUGUGUUUGUAUUCAAGUAAUGUAAAUGAUAUACUAAUGUGUAUUGCUAUAUGUGUAUAUGUACAUGAGAAUUGAGAGUGAAAUGUCCGGGCUAAAUCUCGAAGAGCAUUCGUGCUAGUGAUGUAUCCGGACUAAGUUCCGAAGAGCAUUCAUGCUAGUGAUGUAUCCGGGCUAAGUCCCGAAGAGCAUUCGUGCUAGUGAUGUAUCCGGACUAAGUUCCGAAGAGCAUUCGUGCUAGUGAUGUAUCCGGGCUAAGUUCCGAAGAGCAUUCAUGCUAGUGAUGUAUCCGGGCUAAGUCCCGAAGAGCAUUCAUGCUAGUGAUGUAUCCGGGCUAAGUCCCGAAGAGCAUUCGUGCUAAUGAUGUAUCCGGGCUAAGUCUCGAAGAGCAUUCGUGCUAGUGAUGUAUUCGGACUAAGUUCCGAAGAGCAUUCAUGCUAGUGAUAUAUCCGUGCUAAACCCCGAAGAGCAUUUGUGCUGGUGUUAUAUCCGGGCUAGGUCCCGAAGAGCAAUCAUGCUGGUGACGUGUAUUCGGGCCUUCGUGCCUAGUAGGCUUCGUGCCGGUAGUUUGAGCAAAGUUUAAGUGUUCAUUACUAUACGAAUUCAAAUUUAAAUGAGAUGAUAUGUUUAAAAGUGUACAUACAUGAUGUUUAUAGACUUGGUUAAGUCAUUUCAAUGUGUAAUAACGAAUGAAUAAGAGCACUAUGUGUGUGAAUGAUUAGAGGCACUGUGUGUGUGCGAAUUCCUUUAACCGAGCACUAUGAGUGCGAGAUCGGUCAGUGGGCACUAAGUGUGUGAAGUGGAAUUCAUGUAAGACCUCGUCUGGGACGAAGGCAUUGAUUUGAGAUAGUGUGUAAGACCAUGUCUGGGACAUGGCAUCGGCUCGAUAUGUGAGAAUAUGUAAGACCAUAUCUAGGAUAUGGCAUUGUAAGAGCUAUAUGUGCUCAAUGAGUAUCCGUAAUGAUUUCGAAUGAUUCAACAGGUAUAUUUAAGAUGAUAAAUUAAGUAAGAUCAGAAUAAGUGAUACAGGUAUAUACGGAAGGUAUGAGAAAAUUAGAUGAAAGUAAAAAGAUGGUGGAUAUGUUGUUAAGAAAUGAAUUCAUGUUAUAAAUGUGUUACGAAUUUAGUCUAUGGAAUGCUUGGUAUAUGAAUUCAUAUGUGCUAUUGCUAAAUGACCCCUAUUUUUUUUUUGUUAAUCAUAUUCAAGAAAUUAUUUCGAUUAAGUUCGACAUUUGAAAGUCUGUAAGAAUUUGUGAUGAAUGCUGAUAAUUUUGGAUAUAUGGGUUAUGUGCUAAAAUAAAUCCCAUGCCGGUAUACAAUAUGAGGCUUGAUGCCAAAUCGAUUGUAUACGGGUAUCGUUAACGGUGAUUGAAUGUGCUAAAUGAACUCAAUGUUCAGGUAUGUGGAAGUUGAUUUUCUGUUGGAAAUAGGUUAAGUUGAAUAGUGAGAUAUGAUGGAGUGAUAAAGGAUAUUUAUUGGGAUGUUUGAGUAUAUGUGUACUUUCGGUCAGGUUACAGCUUAUACAUGAAUGAAAAUGUGGGUUACAAAUAUGUGGGUUGAUGAUGUGAAUUAUACAUAUUAAUAUGUGCUUAAUAUGUGUUUGAAAUGCAUUUGUGAAUUAAAUUAAGUGAUUAUUACUUAUGAAAUCAAGAAAAUGAGAUAUAUGUGCAUACUUGUAGAAAUGUUUAUGUAUUUGUUUUAAGAUAAGAAAAUGAUUUUAUAGAUCGAUGCGAAAUCAAUAAUGAAUUACAAUUGCUAUCAAUGAGCUAAUGUCUUUGUGGAUAUAAUUCAAUAAGAGGACGUUAUCCUAAACUAUGCAUCGGGACCACUAAACCGAGUCAUAAAGAUAAUUAACCGUCAUAGUUGAUGCUCAUUAUAUGUACAUAUGCAUGUGUGAAAAUUUCAUGUUUGAAUUUUGUUAAUAGUAAGUGAAUUUUAUCAAAUAAGACUUAUGUGAGAAAAUUUUGAACUGUGAUAGGUCAAAGCAUAAAGAUCUAUUAGUGCAUGAAAUAAAAAGGGGGGACUUGCAUGUCAAUUUCCCCCCUAAUUAGUAGUGGUCGGCCAUGACAAGUAUGGUAGACCAAGUGUGAUGGGCAAGAACAUGUCAUAAACAUGUUAAGUUAGUGUUUCAUGGGAAGUAUGAUAAAAUAAGGAGCAUGGGAUACAAAAUAUAUGCCUUUUAUAUUAAUAAAUUAAAUGUUAAAUGAAUAAAUAAUAUGAAAUAUGAACUUAUAUUAAAAGAAAUGGGUGAUAAAAACAAAGUUGGUUCAUCUUUUUCUUCCUCCAUUGCCGUACCUAAAGAAAGAAAAGAAGAAAUUGAAGUUAAGGCAUUUGGUCACCUUUAAGUGGAUUAAGGUAUGUUAAUGCUCUAUCAUUGAAAAUCUUUGUAUAUUUGGAGUGGCCAUCAAGUAUAGAAGCUAGCUCAUGGCAAAUGUUUUUGUAAAGUUAUGAAGAUGACAUUCGGUCAUGGAUGUUUGUAUUUCUUUGAUGUCGUUUUUGAUGCUUUAGGGUAUUGAGGGUUGAUUAUAGAUGAGUUGAGCUUGGUAAAAUUAAAUGUUUGUGGCUAAAUUGCUUAAUGACAAUCGGCUAUGUUGAAAUGCUAAAUUAGUGCUAAAUUGUAAGUAUUUAAAUGAGUGUUAGCCGAAAUUGAGCCUAUGAUAUUAAUUAGAAUUUGUGAAAUUUAUGCAUUUUGUGGUCCAAGUGUGAUAAGAACCAUACGGUUAUGGCAUGUAAGCAUGAAGAUUUGUGGAUGAUUUAGAAUUGGCCUAAGUGUUGUAGUCAUUAAUAUAUAUGUAUAUUGCCGAAUGUAUGCUUAAGGAAUUGGUUAAGUACAUUGUUGUUAAAUGCUUGUUGUUUUUGUAUAAUUGUUGCCUAGCUACUAAAUGAACUUAGGGUAUUAUGGAUAAGUUUAAGAGUGGCAUAAUUGAAAUGAAGUUUGCUUGGGCCAAAUGUGAACCUAAGUUUUGAAUUACAAUUGAUGCUUGUUAGUUAGUUGAUGAUGUCCUUUGAUAGCCCUUUUGAUAUUCGGCCAUUGUUAAGGAAUUUUGAAUUGGUUAUAAAUUUCUAUGUUUUAAUUAGCAAAUUGAAUUAUUGAAGGUUGAGCUAAUUAUAUAUGUAUACGUUUUAUAUGUACAUUAAUUUCUUAGUCUAUGUUAUUCGGCUAUAAUCGUCAUGGUAGAAUUUUUUUAAUUUGUAAAUUUGUUAAUCAUUAGCUCAAGAGCAUCAAGGACAAAAGUCGGAAAAAGGGACGACAAAACUAAGCGAAUAGCCGUAGAAUUAUAGUCGUCGACAACUUUUAAGGUAAGUUUCUAGCAUAUAAGUUUAGUUAUAAUGAAGAAUGAUAUGGAAAACGGCAUAUAUGAUAUUAUGUUUUAAAUAUGUGAAUGAGAACUUUACAGAGUAAAUUGUAUAAAUCUGCAAGGGACAGCAGCAGUAGCGUUUUGGAAAAAUUACCAUAAAUUGUGGGAGUUGAGUUAAAGGCUGAAUAAAAUAUGUAAUUAAAGCUUAAUGAGUCUAGUUUCUUAUAAAAGAAACCGUGUAAGCAAAGGAAUUUCCGAUAAUGAGAUAUUUAAAGUUGUGUGAGACGGUGUCAGAAUGACUCUGAAAUCCCCUGUUCUGUUUUUAGAAAAUCAUUAUAAAUUGUACAAAAAUUUUUAUAAGAUAAAAUUUAUAUUCUUAGACUCCUUAAUGAGUCUAGUUUCAAAUGAAAUCAAAUACAACAUAUUUUGAAUUCUGUAAAAUGAGAAAUUUGAUUCGUAGUGAAGAGUGGUCAGAUUAGUCAAACAGUGAAAUAGGGGAAACUUUAAGAAAAAUCUGGUACUGAUUGGCCAAACCUAAAAUUCUGUAAAUUUUAUGGAUGGAAGAUAUACGAGUCUAUAUUCAGGAAAAAUUAACGGAAAGUGAUUUGGAGUUUUGUAGCACUAGUUAUAAAUGAUUUAGUGACUAUUGCUCAGGAAAAACAGCUUGUGCCGAAUUUGAGAUUAUGUUGUGAACCUUGAUAAACUUGUUUUAGUUGCUCAUAAGCUAUUGACUAAACCCAUACUUGAAUUCUAAAUCGUGAUAUUGUAAGUUUAUGAGUAUUCGAAUAUGAAAUGAUAGUAUGGCGUAAUGGCCGAUGUGAUGAAUGUGAAAGUGUAUAUAUAUGUGAUAAGGCCUAAUAGCCGAUGUGAUGAAUGUGAAAGUGUAUAUAUAUAUGUGAUAAGGCCUAAUGGCUGAUGUGAUGAAUGUGAAAGUGUAUAUAUAUGUGAUAAGGCCUAAUGGCCGAUGUGAUGAAUGUGAAAGUGUAUAUAUAUGUGAUAAGGCCUAAUGGCCGAUGUGAUGGAUGUGAAAGUGUAUAUAUGUGAUAAGGCCUAAUGGCCGAUGUGAUGAAUGUGAAAGUGUAUAUAUAUGUGAUAAGGCCUAAUGGCCGAUGUGAUGAAUGUGAAAGUGUAUAUAUAUGUGAUAAGGCCUAAUGGCCGAUGUGAUGAAUGUGAAAGUGUAUAUAUGUGAUAAGGCCUAAUGGCCGAUGUGAUGAAUGUGAAAGUGUAUAUAUAUGUGAUAAGGCCUAAUGGCCGAUGUGAUGAAUGUGAAAGUGUAUAUAUGUGAUAAGGCCUAAUGGCCGAUGUGAUGAAUGUGAAAGUGUAUAUAUAUGUGAUAAGGCCUAAUGGCCGAUGUGAUGAAUGUGAAAGUGUAUAUAUGUGAUAAGGCCUAAUGGCCGAUGUGAUGAAUGUGAAAGUGUAUAUAUGUGACAGGGCCGAGUGGCCAACGUGAUGGAUGUGAAAGUGUAUAAAUGUGAUAAGUCCUGAAGGGCAUUUGUGUCAGUACUAUAUCCGGGUUAAAACCCCGCAGGGUUUAUGCGAGAAUAUUAUCACUGAUUAAUGUCGGUAAGCUUCAUGCUCGUACUAUAUCCGAGCUCUAAAGACCCGAUGACUACGUGUGGGGAUUUUAUCCGGGUAAGACUUCGUAAUAAGAAUUGCUUAUAAAUAUAUUCAAUGCGAAAGGUUAAACAGGUAUGUACUCCAAGUUUAUAUGUGAGCUUGAUUUGCACUAAAUCAUAAGGUA